GCGACUUGUAGUUAAUUUGCAAGUAGGUCGAGAGAGCUAGUUCCGUGCGGUCAGGACCACAGAUGUGACUAAACUGCCCAAGGCCACCACCAGAGCUCCGAGCAGAAACUUCCAAGAAAUUCCCUGAAAGACUCUGUGAAAAAUAAGGUGGUCCUGCACUUUCUAACACUGACCAACAGAUGGUGCCAUUUCACCGUCUGCAAGCUGCAUUUCAGGCCCGUCAUGAUUGACUGGCUGGCGAUCAUGUUUAUAAGGCAUUUGCUGCAAAAGGCUGUCUAAGAUCGUGAACUUGUUCGGGCCGACAGAGACAUUUCAGGAGCUGAACAGAAGAGAUCCCUGGGGUCCACGGGAUAUACCACCUUUCCCACGCAACCUUAUCUAGCCUUAUUACUUUCAGAAGUUGGUCACAUGACCACACAUAAAUCAAUAGACUGACAAAUAAAAGGCCUGAAACUGAGUCGAUUUCACUGUGCACAUUUAUUAAGUAUGUUCCCAUGAGAUUAAACAAGAUCAAGCCUGGUGUGAAAGUUUCUAACCUGCAAGAUUGACACAGUUUGACGUUUUUCAGUUCAAACAUGCAUGUUUGUACAGCUGGAGGUUUCCAGUAAAGUUCAUGGUAUUCCAGUAAAUAUGAGUGUUAAUAUCAGAGUCAGCUGGUGAGCUGAAGUAAAUCCAAGGCCUCUUCAACAUAACUAGAUAACAUGUAACUGUUAGUUUGUGCAACUUAAUGAGAUGCACAAAACACACACACAAUUGGACUAUUAUCAGAAGCAAUGUGAACGGUAACUUUGUAAUCUCUUAGUAAUCUAAACAGGACAAAAAUAAUGUUAAAAUGCUGUAAAGCAUGUUAGUAAUUUAACAUGACAGACAUGCAUAACUACUGUUU
This is a long non-coding RNA of Cyprinus carpio (common carp), 886 nucleotides long. RefSeq lists it as uncharacterized. The record is from RefSeq and is a predicted model, not a curated record. The transcript has 3 exons. NCBI's taxonomy places the organism in Eukaryota, Metazoa, Chordata, Actinopteri, Cypriniformes, Cyprinidae.